CACGUAGUUAGCCGGUGCUUAUUCUUCAGGUACCGUCAUUAGCAAAAGAUAUUAGCUUUCACCGUUUCUUCCCUGACAAAAGAGCUUUACAACCCGAAGGUCUUCUUCACUCACGCGGCAUUGCUGGAUCAGGCUUUCGCCCAUUGUCCAAAAUUCCCCACUGCUGCCUCCCGUAGGAGUCUGGACCGUGUCUCAGUUCCAGUGUGGCUGGUCGUCCUCUCAGACCAGCUACUGAUCGAUGCCUUGGUAGGCUUUUACCCUACCAACUAGCUAAUCAGAUAUCGGCCGCUCCACGAGCAUGAGGUCUGCGACUCCCCCACUUUCAUCCUUAGAUCGUAUGCGGUAUUAGCGUAACUUUCGCUACGUUACUCCCCCACUCGUAGGGUACGUUCCGAUAUAUUACUCACCCGUUCGCCACUCCGCCACCAGACGCAAGCUCCGUGCUCGCCGUUCGACUUGCAUGUGUAAGCAUGCGCCAGCGUU
This 483-nucleotide ribosomal RNA is filed under the name uncultured Janthinobacterium sp. RNAcentral describes it as "partial 16S ribosomal RNA". The record is from RNAcentral. Lineage: Bacteria; Pseudomonadati; Pseudomonadota; Betaproteobacteria; Burkholderiales; Oxalobacteraceae.